UGUUGUUGUCAGCAGACUAUCGGUCUACUCGGUCAGCGCUAGCUUCUUCAUCACCGGACAGACUAAUCUAGUGGAGAAGCUGCAGAAGUUUAGCCUGUCCGGUGAGGAAGAAGCUAGCGCUGACCAAGUAGACCGAUAGUCUACUGACAACAACAGCGUCAGCCAACUUCUUAAUGUCUUCGAUCGCAGAGUCGAAGAUGUCGCCGAGUGUUUC
Molecule: non-coding RNA, 214 nt
Organism: Brassica rapa (field mustard)
Lineage: Eukaryota; Viridiplantae; Streptophyta; Magnoliopsida; Brassicales; Brassicaceae
Source: RefSeq, marked provisional